Molecule: ribosomal RNA, 253 nt
Filed under: uncultured bacterium
Lineage: Bacteria
Description: partial 16S ribosomal RNA
Rfam family: Bacterial small subunit ribosomal RNA
Source: RNAcentral
UACGUAGGGUGCGAGCGUUGUCCGGAAUUACUGGGCGUAAAGAGCUCGUAGGUGGUUUGUCGCGUUGUCCGUGAAAACUCACAGCUCAACUGUGGGCGUGCGGGCGAUACGGGCAGACUGGAGUACUGCAGGGGAGACUGGAAUUCCUGGUGUAGCGGUGGAAUGCGCAGAUAUCAGGAGGAACACCGGUGGCGAAGGCGGUUCUCUGGGCAUGAUCUGACGCUGAGGAGCGAAAGUGUGGGGAGCGAACAGG